RNAcentral lists this long non-coding RNA (1006 nucleotides) under Triticum aestivum (bread wheat). RNAcentral describes it as "long non-coding RNA (TAES_LNC010638)". Lineage: Eukaryota; Viridiplantae; Streptophyta; Magnoliopsida; Poales; Poaceae. The record is from RNAcentral.
CCAUCGUCUUCUUCCCUUCGCUCUUCUCCCUUCUGUACCUGUACACCGAGGAUUUGCAAGCUAGGGUUAGCGAUUUGCUUCAUCGCCUCUCUCUCCUCCACCUCCCCCUCUGCUGGGCCACUCUGACCUUCUCCCUACUGUAUUUUGUACCUAAUUCCAGCUCUGUACAAGCGCCCCCUCUCCCCUGAAACGACCGCGCCACCGACGAGCGCUUACAUGUAGCGCCGCCAUGCUGUAGGUCUGGGCAACAUUGACCCAGCCAUCGCAAAGCCGGCCAUCUUCUGCAGCUUAAAGUAUCCAGGGUAUGAUCUCUUAUUGAGUUAUCCAAAUAUUAUGUUUCCUCCCAUCUGUCAAUUUCCCCCAAUUGCAGCAAUGGUGUAGCAAACAGGCAAAUAGAUGUGCUCGUUGUUCCCAUACUUAAUUUGUAAACAAUUUUCAUAUCUCCUGCAGCCUAUAAAGUAAGAUUUGUGCAUGAAUGUUAUGACUUGUAUGUGAAAAAGCGAGUUAGCGUACAUGUCUGGAGUAGAAUAUACUUUGAAGUGUCUUAUUUUGAUUCACUUUGUUGAUCGUAAAAUGAAACUGCACUUUAAUGUCCAAUUGAACUUUCUGAAUUCAUUACUAGUUCUUCUUAUUCAUGCCUUUUUUCUUUGUUGCAAUCCACAUUCAAACAAUUCUUUAAAAUAACAAUACUGAUCUAGCGUACAUGCCUGGAAUCAUCUCACAAAUUUUUGAUACAUGUAAUUGUAGUACAUGUGAAUUUUACUUGUAGAUGUACUCUGACCGACCUGUGCCUAUGGCUAUCGCUAUUUUUGUUCAACUGUUUCUGAACUAAGUCCGAUGCUCGCAACCGAGAAAUCACACUUUCAGGUUUCAUUCUAAUAAAUGAAAGCAAGGGGUGUAUCCCUUUUCUCUACAAGAAAAUAUGAUUCUUCACUUGAUUUAUAACAAUUUCAGGUUAGUUGUAGUCCCCUUCUUUUAAUUUUUUCUGUACCUCAUGUACUUGCAG